This 82-nucleotide transfer RNA is filed under the name Pseudomonadota bacterium. RNAcentral's name for it is "tRNA-OTHER". It matches the Rfam family "tRNA". From Rfam's summary of the family: Transfer RNA (tRNA) molecules are approximately 80 nucleotides in length. Their secondary structure includes four short double-helical elements and three loops (D, anti-codon, and T loops). Lineage: Bacteria; Pseudomonadati; Pseudomonadota. The record is from RNAcentral.
GGGGGUGUGGUGCGCCCGACUGUUAAUCGGGAGAGCCGGUGUGACACCACCGGUUCCGCGAGUUCGAAUCUCGUCACCCUCG